This 273-nucleotide ribosomal RNA is filed under the name uncultured bacterium. RNAcentral describes it as "partial 16S ribosomal RNA". It matches the Rfam family "Bacterial small subunit ribosomal RNA", at positions 524 to 796 of the family's 1533-position model. The record is from RNAcentral.
UACGUAGGGGGCGAGCGUUGUCCGGAAUCAUUGGGCGUAAAGCGCGUGUAGGCGGCUUGGCAAGUCCGAUGUGAAAGCUCGAGGCUCAACCUCGAGUCUGCAUUGGAAACUGCCUUGCUAGAGUCCGGAAGAGGGGACUGGAAUUCCUGGUGUAGCGGUGAAAUGCGCAGAUAUCAGGAAGAACACCGGUGGCGAAGGCGGGUCCCUGGGACGGUACUGACGCUGAGACGCGAAAGCGUGGGGAGCAAACAGGAUUAGAUACCCCCGUAGUCC